GAUGAACGCUGGCGGCGUGCCUAAUACAUGCAAGUCGAGCGAACAGAUGAUGAGCUUGCUCCUCUGACGUUAGCGGCGGACGGGUGAGUAACACGUGCAUACCCUACCUAUAAGACUGGGCUAACUUCGUGAAACCGGAGCUAAUACCGGAUAAUAUAUUGAACCGCAUGGUUCAAUAGUGAAAGACGGUUUUGCUGUCACUUAUAGAUGGAUCCGCGCCGCAUUAGCUAUUUGGUAAGGUAACGGCUUACCAAGGCAACGAUGCGUAGCCGACCUGCGAGGGUGAUCGGCGACACUGGAAGUGAGACACGGUCCAGACUCCUACGGGAGGCAGCAGUAGGGAAUCGUCGGCGAUGGGCGGAAGCCUGACGGAGCAACGCCGCGUGGGUGAUGAAGGUCUUCGGAUCGUAAAACUCUGUUAUUAGUGAAGAACAAAUGUGUAAGUAACUAUGCACGUCUUGACGGUACCUAAACAGGAAGCAACGGCUAACUACGUG
RNAcentral lists this ribosomal RNA (497 nucleotides) under uncultured bacterium. Its description in RNAcentral is "partial 16S ribosomal RNA". It matches the Rfam family "Bacterial small subunit ribosomal RNA", at positions 28 to 507 of the family's 1533-position model. The record is from RNAcentral.